GGUUGACUUCAGCAGCUAAAGCUUGAGAGCUGAGCUUGGCACCAAGAAAACCUGUCUGCAGCUGAGCAGAGGAGCAUCAGCACUCCUCUGGUCAGAAUCAAGUAGAAAUAGCUCUGCAGAACUGACAGACUUGGUUCUAAAAUUGAACGCUGUAAUCAGUGAUAAUGAAGGUAAAAGGAACGGAGUGACUGGUGAAUUAAUUCUCUGUGUGGGUGACUGUGCAACCUUAUACUGAACCCCUAAGAAACAGAGAAAACUAAUUUUUGCAGGCAUCUGCCUCUUGGGAAUUUACAGACUAAUCUAUUUAAUAUUUGAAAGGUAGUACCUCUAAUAUUAUCACUUCAGCUUUGUGCACCAAAGUACUGGGUUAAAAUAGUGCUUCAGAGGAAACUAUUUUAUGUCCAAGGGAAACUUGGUCUUGGGACUUAACUUCUACAGCUCUAUUCCAGUUUUGGGGUAUCAGGACCUUUCACAGGGUAUUUAAGACAGCACAUGGCUUUUGUCUGAACAGGCAAAAACUUCUCUUGUUGUCUUCCUCUUUCACUUCUGGCUGGGAGGCUGGUC
RNAcentral lists this long non-coding RNA (564 nucleotides) under Cairina moschata (Muscovy duck). Its description in RNAcentral is "domestica (muscovy Duck (domestic type)) lncRNA (ENSCMMG00000010196.1)". The record is from RNAcentral. Lineage: Eukaryota; Metazoa; Chordata; Aves; Anseriformes; Anatidae.